CCUCUCCUCCAAGCUUGGGCUUGCCAGUAAGACACUCCCCUUCUGCACACUAUAAAGGCAACAGCUGGCUCUGAGCACUUCCUCCUAGGUCAGCUUCAAGUGACUCUGAGGAGUCAGUCCUGGUCAAGAGGCCCAAGGGUAGUGCCCCUUCGGAACCGUGAAUAACUGGCUCCCCGCUGGCGGGGGCAAGUGGCACCCGAACAGGGACCCUGAAGUACAGCCAACUACCGGAUGAUGGAGACAGGAGAUCCACGGAGAGAUUGAGGACUCUUCAGGCUGCAUCGCUUGUGCAUCGCUGGAGAGGGAAGUAAGACCAGUCGAAUAAGUGUCAUCCCAUCGCCAUGGAGAAGGAUGCUACAGGAGUGUGCCAGCUGCCUGAGUGGCUAGUGAGACAUGCUGAUCCUGGGAGCAUGAAGAUUCAGCUCUCCUGGUUCGGGUCCCUGGAGUCAUUCCUGUGCACUUGGAGGAAGAUGGAGGAUACCCCCUCAUCUUUUGUCAUCACAGAGAUUUUGGCGUUGCUGCAGUCAUUGUGUCCCGUCCCACCGCCCUCUGUGCACUGCUGCUCCCUGGAGAAGACUGGACUCCAGCUGUUACCCCUGCCCCCCUCAGUCCCCUGGUGACUCUUGCUGCCUUAACUGGUAUUGUCAUUUUGCAGUCUGUAGCUUCACAGGAAUGCCAUCUGCAUGAAGCUGCUGUGGACUGGGGAACUCUGCCCUGGUUCUGCAGAUCUCAGACAUGGUUCCAUUGCCUGCUGGUUGUUCCAGAGAAGAAUAACUAAUCCUGAACUGUCAUUUUCGCUGCUAUUGUAGCAGCCAUUACUGCUGCAGCCAUUGUGUCUGCAGUGUCUGGAGUUACCCUCCCCCAAUCUAUUGUUAGGCAAUAGCAGAGUGGGUGAACUUUCUGGAGUAGUUGCUAACAAUUGGGAAUUCUAAAUUUUAUUACAGGAGUUGCUUGACUACGGCCGUUGGUGGUAUGGCCAUAGAAGCUGAGGAGAACCAGAUGAGGUGCCCACUACUUAUCGGGAGAGGCUCAACUUCCACAAUCUCUUAAAUUAAUGCCAUCUGGCCCCUGCUCUUUCGCCCCUGGGCUCAAAUAAGGGGAAUGAGAAGAUGAUCCAAUGUAGCUUUCCUCAGCGAUGGGCAACUUCCUCUGACCCUUGACCAAUCUAAGACAUGGUGCCUUGGGGGUGACAAGGUGAUCCUAUAACAGAUAAGGCUGGGGUUCGAGAGGUCGAUCCUAAGACAGAGGUGGCUACAGCCUGUUUAAACAUACAGGCCGGUCAAAUGCUCCUCUGCCCAGUUUCUUCCCGAAUAAACACACAGAACGGUGUGUUACAGCAUAAGUUCAUUCCUAGCCAUUGGGGUGCAGGAAGAUAACAUUCACAGGAUGCUUCAGCCUAAGCAAAAAUCAGUUAUCUCCUCCCAGUGAUAAGUUGUAGAUCAGUUGUCUACACCCGGUGUCUCCACCACCUGACCUCAUUGCCUGACCUCUUUGCCUCCAGCUAUCACUGCCUAUACCCUCAUCUCCCCCUCCUUCAUGUUUCACAAAGGUCACUCCCCCUACCUGAAAGCCUUAAAAGCUGUAACGUUCAUCCCAAUAAAUGAGACCUUGACAAUAGAAUCUUGCUUGGUCUCCUUCUUCUCUCGCCCCCCAUUAGGCCCAAGGGUAGUGCCCCUUCGGAACCCUGGAUCCCCGCUGGCAGGGACAUGUGUGUGUGU
Rattus norvegicus (Norway rat) is the source of this 1718-nucleotide long non-coding RNA. Ensembl lists it as uncharacterized. NCBI's taxonomy places the organism in Eukaryota, Metazoa, Chordata, Mammalia, Rodentia, Muridae. The record is from Ensembl.